UCUCUUCAGCACUGCGGGGGACAUAUCCCCCACGUCCCCCGUGCCUCCUGCGCCCCUGUGUAGGCUACAGGAGUGAGACAUUAUCAGAGAUAUAUAAAUGGCUCUAGCUACCGGUCUUGGAAUCUUGAUUGGUCCUCUGGCCAGGGAACUGGUGUGUCAUAGUGGUGUGGAAUGUUGGGUAGGGGCCAGGCCAUCUUAUAUCUGUCUGCAGGGAGGUGAAUCUGUGUGCGUGUGUGUGUGUGUGUGUGUGUGUGUGUGUGUGUGUGUGUGUAUGUGUAUGUGUGAGAGAGAGUGUGUGAAUCUCUCUCUCUCUCUCUCUCUCUCUCUCUCUCUCUGAGCAGGGUGUUCACACCAGAAUAACUGAGGAGACUGCAUGUCAUCACCCCCCCCCCCCCACCCCCUCUCUCUCACCGUCAAGGCUCAGUUUUAGUGUGCUUACAUAAGUGAAACAAAGAAAAUACAUUUAACAGUGGAAACACAUUUACGCAUACAGGGAUAUAAACAAUUUUAAAUCAAAACUUUAAGAUACAAAUCUGUAAAGUCUACGUAUAAGAGAGGCUAUUUUGAACGAAACGCCACAUGUAGUUCCACUGUGAAAAGAAAACUUCAGAUCAAUGGUUUGACCAAAUGGUUUUUGGACAGAGGCUGUGCAGAGAUUAUGAAUCAUCAGCUGUUUGAACAGACCUCUCGGUGUUGACACAUGUGUACUCAGCAUGUGUUACUGCACAGCAGAGAAACAUAAUCCUCAACGUCCAAGAUGACAGACUUUUCCAAAGGUUAAGACUGACUACUUUUGAUGAAACUUUCUAAUAGCUUCAUAAUCAGGGUCCCGUGGCAUGAUGGCAGCCGGCAGUGAGAGCGAUAGUGGACACAAGGAAACCUUCAGCGCCGAGCCAAAACCCACAGCCUGGGAUGGGGGGGAUUUACGCCGAAACAGAAUAGACGGAUUGUGCUUCUCUUUCCGCACUUGAAUUGCCCAUUCCAUUGAAUUAUGGAAUGGAAUAUAUGUACAAUAUAAAUAAACCUGCCUUCCAUUGCA
Molecule: long non-coding RNA, 1039 nt
Organism: Alosa sapidissima (American shad)
Lineage: Eukaryota; Metazoa; Chordata; Actinopteri; Clupeiformes; Clupeidae
Exons: 2
Source: RefSeq, a predicted model, not a curated record